AUGUCUCAAGACGAACGCUGGCGGCGUGUCUUACACACGCAAGUCGAGCGGACAGAUAGGAGCUUGUUUCAAGAUGUUAGCGGCGGACGGGUGAGUAACACGUGGGUAACCUGCCCGUAAGACUGGGAUAACUCCGGGAAACCGGGGCUAAUACCGGAUGGYUGUUUGAACCGCAUGGUUCAAACAUAAAAGGUGGCUUCGGCUAUCACUUACAGAUGGACCCGCGGCGCAUUAGCUAGUUGGUGAGGUAACGGCUCACCAAGGCAACGAUGCGUAGCCGACCUGAGAGGGUGAUCGGCCACACUGGGACUGAGACACGGCCCAGACUCCUACGGGAGGCAGCAGUAGGGAAUCUUCCGCAAUGGACGAAAGUCUGACGGAGCAACGCCGCGUGAGUGAUGAAGGUUUUCGGAUCGUAAAGCUCUGUUGUUAGGGAAGAACAAGUGCCUGGUCGAAUAAGCCGGCACCUGACGUA
This 475-nucleotide ribosomal RNA is filed under the name Bacillus sp. (in: firmicutes). RNAcentral's name for it is "bacterial SSU rRNA". It matches the Rfam family "Bacterial small subunit ribosomal RNA", at positions 19 to 486 of the family's 1533-position model. Lineage: Bacteria; Bacillati; Bacillota; Bacilli; Caryophanales; Bacillaceae. The record is from RNAcentral.